Molecule: ribosomal RNA, 465 nt
Filed under: uncultured bacterium
Lineage: Bacteria
Description: partial 16S ribosomal RNA
Rfam family: Bacterial small subunit ribosomal RNA
Source: RNAcentral
CUACGGGUCGCUCCAGUGGGGAAUAUUGGACAAUGGGGGAAACCCUGAUCCAGCAAUGCCGCGUGUGUGAAGAAGGCCUGCGGGUUGUAAAGCACUUUCGGUUGGGAGGACUGCUUCUAGCACUAAUAUUGUUGGAAGUUGACGUUACCUUCAGAAGAAGCACCGGCUAACUCCGUGCCAGUAGCCGCGUUAAUACGGAGGGUGCAAGCGUUAAUCGGAAUUACUGGGCGUAAAGCGCGCGUAGGCGGCUAGAUCAGUCGGGUGUGAAAGCCCCGGGCUUAACCUGGGAACUGCAUCCGAUACUGUCUAGCUUGAGUACAGGAGAGGAGAGUGGAAUUCCACAUGUAGCGGUGAAAUGCGUAGAUAUGUGGAGGAACACCAAUGGCGAAGGCAGCUCUCUGGCCUGAUACUGACGCUGAGGUGCGAAAGCGUGGGGAGCAAACAGGAUUAGAUACCCGUGUAGUC